Molecule: small nuclear RNA, 329 nt
Filed under: Jaculus jaculus (lesser Egyptian jerboa)
Lineage: Eukaryota; Metazoa; Chordata; Mammalia; Rodentia; Dipodidae
Description: 7SK RNA (ENSJJAG00000008291.1)
Rfam family: 7SK RNA
About the family: 7SK was discovered as an abundant small nuclear RNA in the mid-70s but a possible function has only recently been suggested.
Source: Rfam by way of RNAcentral
GGAUGUGAGGGUGAUCUGUCUGUGACAUCGAUCACCCCACUGAUCACCAGGGUUGAUUGGGCUGAUCUGGUUGCCUAGGCUGGUGUCCCCUUCCUCCCUCACCACUUCAUGUGUGUCCCUCCUAAAGCCACAUGCUCAAAGAGGAUGACCUUCCUCUAAUAGAGGAGGACUGGUCUUCAGUCAUGGGUAUAUGAGUAGCUGUGCUCCCUUGCUAGAACCUCCAAACAAGCUCUCAGACAUCAAAAAUCAGCCAAUUUCUUCUUUAGUUCAAGAGGAUGGCUUGCUCCUUUUCAACUAUUUAUAAAAACACACGUGCUCAUGUGUGUUAU